AGGGAUUUAGCUCAGUGGUAGAGUGCUUGCCUAGCAAGCACAAGGCCCUGGGUUCGGUCCCCAGCUCUG
RNAcentral lists this transfer RNA (69 nucleotides) under Rattus norvegicus (Norway rat). It matches the Rfam family "tRNA". From Rfam's summary of the family: Transfer RNA (tRNA) molecules are approximately 80 nucleotides in length. Lineage: Eukaryota; Metazoa; Chordata; Mammalia; Rodentia; Muridae. The record is from Rfam by way of RNAcentral.